Molecule: long non-coding RNA, 209 nt
Filed under: Elaeis guineensis (African oil palm)
Lineage: Eukaryota; Viridiplantae; Streptophyta; Magnoliopsida; Arecales; Arecaceae
Description: long non-coding RNA (EGUI_LNC019900)
Source: RNAcentral
AUGGGCACUCCAGGCUCCUUAGCGGUGGACCAAAGCUCCCAACAGUUCCUAGAGGUCCAGACCCGCACCAUAAUCAUGCUCCUCCAAACAUUCGAGGCUUGAGUGGAACUGGAAGGAUCCUCCAAGCAGUCCUUGGAGGCCUAAACCCAAUACAUAAUCAGGCUCCUCCAAACAUUGAAGACUUGAGUGGAACUGAAAAGAUCCUCCGU